Molecule: non-coding RNA, 1273 nt
Organism: Oryzias latipes (Japanese medaka)
Lineage: Eukaryota; Metazoa; Chordata; Actinopteri; Beloniformes; Adrianichthyidae
Source: RefSeq, a predicted model, not a curated record
CUUAUAUAAGAGCUGUUUUAAGUUUUGCCUUUAAUGUAGAGCAAAAGCACAAUGUAGACAAAAUUAUUUGAUGUUUUUAACCUUAUAUGGUGUACUUUAAUUUGGCCUAAGUUCAAUUUAAAUUUCUAGUCUUUGAGCUGUUAAUUUAAGUUAUUUUUUUUCUAAUCAUACAUUCUCAUGAAAAAGUAAAUUUCUCUGUUACUACGUUACAUUAAGUGUACAUAUUAGUACCUUUUAGCUUUUGUACCUACACAGGAAAAAUGAGAGAGUACUUUUUUCGGAGUUACCAUCAGUAAUUUUUAUUUAAGUAGGUGUAAAAACGUAGUGGAAAUAUGUUGGAGUAAACCAGCGAGACCACGCCCACUCUACUUUCUUAAGUUUCGUUUCUUCCGCCAUUUUGUUAUCCCGCAGCGGCCGGAGGAAGAUAGAGGCUGUGACUGAGUAAGGAAGCCAGCUACUUUUGAAACGACCAGCUCCAUAAUUCCUACUGAUAUUUAUCAGGAAAGAUGCAAGCUGUGCGUGAACAUGUCAAACGCCAAAAAAAAAAAACGAUUUGAAGGUCAGCUGACCUUCAAAUCGUUUUGGGAAUGCGCUGCCAAAUAGUUCAACAUCCCAACAUUGGACUUGAAAGUGUUUGAUGACUCAAAGACAGAAGUUGAUGAGCAGGUUUUUGAUCUCCUGUUGAAAAACCCAAACCUUGGUGUGUUGGAAAUUUGUCUGGCCGAAGAUACAAAUCCAGAAGAUCAGCCGAGUUGUCCUGCAAAGAGCUGCAAUACCAGUUCAAGUGGAGAUACUGAAGUGGACUCAGAUGACACAAUAAUAUUACAACACAGUCCUACAACAAGACGAAGAGUUGAAGACACCUCUCUUGCCAAAGUGGUUGCUGUCAUUGGUGAGGAUGCAUCAUCCGUUGAAGGUCAUGUGAAUGUCCUGCAUAUCCAGUACAGCAAGGUGCGAGAGGAUAUACUAAAGAAGUACCCUUUCUUGAAGACAACUUCAGGGUUGUUUGAUGAUGUUGACCAAGUGCAUCCAUCACCUGUCAGUUUAAGCCAGAGCUUCAAGGACGGCGUUUACCAGUGUUGUGCCAAAGGUGCUAUAGCUUGUUCAAAGAAAAGCUCCAUUAGCCAAAGUCUCCAAAGAAGCAAGAGAAGAGAUGCUUGCAGAGGAUCUACUAGGUAUUGACAUAAAACGUAAUCUUUAGUGUGUUUUAUAGUUCUUCUUUUUAGAAUUCGUAUCAAUAUUAUCUUAUCACAUUUAUGCAUUUUAUUAUUUA